UCAAAAACAUGGCUUAUUGAUUUUAAUUUUAGGUCUAGCCUGCCCCCUGAAAUUUUAAAUGGCUGCGGUAUUUUGACCGUGCUAAGGUAGCAUAAUCAUUAGUUUCUUAAUUAGAAGCUGGAAUGAAGGGUUGGAUGAAAAAAUUUCUGUCUCUAUUUAAAUUUAUUAAAAUUUUAUUUUUUAGUAAAAAAGCUAAAAUUAUUUUAAAAGACGAGAAGACCCUAUAGAGUUUUAUAUAUAAAUUCUUUAAAAUUUAUUGGAAUAUAAAUUUUUAAUUUAAUAAUAUAUUUAAUUGGGGUGAUUGAAAAAUUGAUAUAACUUUUUUUAUUUUGUACAUUGAUUUAUGAAUUAUUGAUCCAUAUUUAAUGAUUAUAAGAUUUAAUUACCUUAGGGAUAACAGCGUAAUGUUUUCAGAGAGUUCUUAUCGAAGAAAAAGAUUGCGACCUCGAUGUUGGAUUAAAAUGAAUUAUUGGUGUAGAAGCUNNUAUNAUUAGGUCUGUUCGACCUUUAAAAUUUUACAUGAUCUGA
RNAcentral lists this ribosomal RNA (528 nucleotides) under Bruchidius bimaculatus. Its description in RNAcentral is "partial 16S ribosomal RNA". The stretch from base 393 to 528 matches the Rfam family "Bacterial large subunit ribosomal RNA", at positions 2473 to 2608 of the family's 2925-position model. Lineage: Eukaryota; Metazoa; Arthropoda; Insecta; Coleoptera; Chrysomelidae. The record is from RNAcentral.